This 346-nucleotide unclassified non-coding RNA is filed under the name fungal sp. RNAcentral's name for it is "partial internal transcribed spacer region". The stretch from base 1 to 46 matches the Rfam family "Eukaryotic small subunit ribosomal RNA", at positions 1786 to 1831 of the family's 1831-position model. The record is from RNAcentral. Lineage: Eukaryota; Fungi.
AAGUCGUAACAAGGUUUCCGUAGGUGAACCUGCGGAAGGAUCAUCAAUAAUAGACCGAAUUAUGAAAUUGGUCUGAUCUUUUAAAACCCAUUAUAUUUAUUACUUUGACCGGGUUUUAUAGAUUGAGAAGGGGGGGGGAGAUCCGUGUGAGGAUUCCUCUUUUUUUCUUUUUUUAUAAAAUUAAUGGUCUAUAAAAACCUUUUUAUAAAGCUCACUCUUUAUUUUUUUUUAUUAAGGCUUUAUUAUAAGCCAUUGAACAGGAUUAAUAGACCAGUUUUAGGUGUAAUGCCUCUGGUGUAAAAAAAAAAAUUAUUAAAACUUUCGGCAAUGGAUCUCUCGGCUCUCC